RNAcentral lists this long non-coding RNA (410 nucleotides) under Gossypium barbadense (sea-island cotton). RNAcentral's name for it is "long non-coding RNA (GBAR_LNC014810)". The record is from RNAcentral. Lineage: Eukaryota; Viridiplantae; Streptophyta; Magnoliopsida; Malvales; Malvaceae.
GGGGAAUGUUGGAAAAAUUGCAUUUUAUGGGAACUUUGAGGUAUAUUCUCAAUAGAUAAAGGUAGAGAUUGAACCAUAUAAUUAUGUUUUCAUAUUCUACUCCAUGAGACCUUUACAAUGGUAUAUCAUAUGCUUAAAAUGUUUGAUUGAUGAAUGAGAAAUUGAUGUUCAAAGUAAGCUACUUGGAAAUAUUGUUGGGGAAAAGUAAAGGCUUAGAUCCCACAUUAGUUAAAUACCAAGUGUGAGAUGUGUUUAUAUAUGUGAACUCUCUUGAAGGAUAAUUGAAUAACUAAGCUUGCAACCCUGCCUCGCGCGCAGGAGGUAUAGGUCCAAACCCAUUGGGGUUGAGUUGCGCCCGCACGACGUGGGCGACGCAAAAUUUUCGAACCGAUCGGGCCCAAAUGUGCUUG